Molecule: transfer RNA, 73 nt
Organism: Dialister succinatiphilus YIT 11850
Lineage: Bacteria; Bacillati; Bacillota; Negativicutes; Veillonellales; Veillonellaceae
Rfam family: tRNA
About the family: Transfer RNA (tRNA) molecules are approximately 80 nucleotides in length.
Source: Rfam
GGGGGUGUAGCUCAGCUGGGAGAGCAUCUGCCUUGCAAGCAGAGGGUCAGGAGUUCGAUUCUCCUCAUCUCCA